Molecule: non-coding RNA, 2707 nt
Organism: Pelodiscus sinensis (Chinese soft-shelled turtle)
Lineage: Eukaryota; Metazoa; Chordata; Testudines; Trionychidae
Source: RefSeq, a predicted model, not a curated record
GCUGGCACCACGCAUGUGCUGCGCACCCGGGGGGCACUGCAUUGGGGACCACUGGGGUAGGGGAUAUAGAUGUAAAAGGGGACUGUGUUGCCCGAUUUGAUGAUUCAAGGACUCACUGAUCCGUAGUAAUGAGAGCUCAUUGUUGGUAAAAUGGUCUCAGGCAGUGAUGGAAGGUUGUGUUUGGAUGCACUGGAUCUUUGGGCUGGACGCUCAGACUCCCGCCCAAGACUUUAAAUCUGCUGUUUGUGUGAAGUGGGUUGAGUGUUAGAGGACUGGCUGUGUUGAGUCCUUCUGUUGGGACAUUACUUGGGCCUGUUAUCGUAUGGCCUCUGCUGUUGCCUGUGGUAGUUCAAGUCUCUUGGUCUCCGGUACAGGAUAUGUCUUUGGUUAGGCGGGGUGUACAUGCCUAAAGUACAGUGUGCUGCAGGAAUCUUUCAUUGAAUGGAACACCUCAUCUGUUUUUGUGGCAAACAGUUGGUUCCUAUCAAAGGGGAGGUCCCCCACCUUAGUCUGAAAUUCUUUUGGGACUCCUGAUGAAUAUAACCACAAUGCUCUGCAAAUUACUAUUGCUGAAGCUGUGGCCUUAGCUGCUGUAUCCGCCACAUCCAUUGCAGCCUAGAGGGCAAUUUUUGCUAUGGAUUGGCCCUCUUUGAUGCUAGACUAGAGAUGUGGUUUCUUAUUUUCAGGAAGGUCCUGUAAGAGAUAUUGUAAUCUAGAGUAAUUGGCAUGAUCGUAGUUAGCCAGAAAGGCAGUGUAAUUUGAUAUUCUGAACUGGAGUGUGGCAGAGGAGUAUACUUUCCAGCCAAAGACCUGCUCGUGGUAUUGAGGUGUAGAUUUGAAUUGGGGGUAUUUUGCUUUAUGAUGAACCGAGUUAAUGACCAGUGAAUUUGGGUGGGGAUGUAAGAAGAGAAAAUCCAUCUUUUUCGCUGGGACAAAGUAUUUUCUGUCUACUCUCUGGUUGAUGGGGGGGGAUAGAGUCUGGUGUUUAUCAGAGUACAUCCGAUGACUCCAAGAUGGGCUCAUUGAUGGGUAAUGCUAUCGUUGAGGAUGCAGCCAGUUGUAGUACUGUAAGUAAUUUGUAUUGUUUAUCUUGCACUUCUUGGAAUGUAAUGUCUUGAGAUUGAACCACUCGUCUGAAUAGUUCUUAGAAUUGUUUCAGCUCAUCUGCUGGUGGAGAGAGAAACACCUGGAAAACUGCCUUGUCUAGACCAGCGAGAGACUGAGGAGCGUGUGAAGAGCUCUCUGAGUAGGAGUGAGAAGGGAGAGCACUGCUGUGACUCCAUCGUCAGCCGAGGACGGCAGAAAAGGAACUGAGGGAGGCUCGCACCACACAUGCACCUAACAGACAACAGCACAAGAUGGGGAGUGCACGAGUGGCGCAGGACGCACUGCUAGGCAAAAAUCUCCUAUCCACAGCGCCAGGACGCACCGAGGCCUGAGUGGAGAACCUGUAGAGACAUCACCUGAAGAACCAGUCAGCAUGCUAGGAGUUCCCAUGGGGGGAGGAACCUUAGGCCCAGGGGCCAGAUGUAGUCCCCAGCUUGCCUGGAUCCAGCCCUCAAGGUUCACUGUCUCCCCCCAGCAUUCUAGAGCCCACAGGGCUGGAGCACCCAAAAUCUCCUGGGGGGGCAGUCUCUGGUGUGCAAAGGGAAUACGGGGAGUCUUCCUCCUUGCAGCACCUUAAAGACUAACAAAACAUGCAGAUGGUAUCAUGAGCUUUCAUGGGCACAAUCCACUUCUUCAGAGGUGCCCCACCCUGAAUUACCCUGAAGCUAUGAUCCUCAGAGACUACCCGUACCAGUAAAUAACUUUCCAUCAUUCCUUAUGUGGUGAUGUUGCUAAACCUACGCUCAACUUAAUGGCCCCCCAGCCAGAAAUUGUGUUUUAAAUAAACUGAGUAGCAAUCCACAAAUCUCAUACAACCAAUUCAGCAUGGUAUCCUGUCUCCUGCAGAGGCUGACAACUUUAUUUUUCAAAAAAGACUACACACGAAUAUUACUGAUUUAAAAUAGGAUUUUCUGCAACCAUCACCACCAAGGACCUCAAGAUCUUCAUCUUCCCUCCCAACAGUUAAGGUGUGAACUCCUGCAUUGCAGUUUCAUUAUGAACUAGUCAGUAGUUGGUGUAUAUAACCCACCUAGGAGAGAAUGACCAACUGCAUAAACAGGAGAGUUUUGGCUCAUUGUAUUUCAAUGGGUCUUUAAACCACAUGUCCUAGAACAACAUGGAUAGAAAGAAGAGGAAGAGUGAAUAGCUGGGCAAUAGCAAGAUGAGCUGUAGGACCCAGUUUAUGGCCAGAACCACAAACUGCUAACUGGUAAGUCAAGUGGAAAUUUUAGUUUCCAAUUUUCCAGCUCUCUGAAGGUAUAGUGUUCCAAAUAAAACAUUGGCUUUCUUUCAGGAUGUCUAUGUCAACACAUCUGUCAGCAACCCAUAAACAGUUUUGAUAUGUGUCCACCUUUGACCUCAGGCACUCCGCAUGCACAUAAGGAGUUCUGUGACAAAACCACACAUUAGAAUUCCUGCAUGCAGAAUUGCAAUGUAUCCACAAGCAGAAGGGCUAGAUCAACACUGAAAAUGAACACAAGACACUAGAUCUUGUAAAGCAGAAUUAAAGGGCUGACCUGCCUCCAAGCCUUGUGUUUCACAAAUAACGCAAGGAGCUCUGUAGUUAAUGACCCUAUGAAAUCAGGGAGAUGACCUACCC